GCCAUCUUGGCUCCUCCGCAUUUGUUUUUAUGGUGGUUUUGUAUUGUUUUUAUAGAGCUGCCCUCACAUGCUUCAGCAACAUUAGAUGUUCUGGAGACUGGAAAGUCCAAGAUCAUGGUGCCUGAGGAUUCAGUGUCUGGUAAGGGCUCAUUUCCUGGUUUGCAGUAGGUUGUCUUUUUGACUGUGUCUUCACAUGGUGAAAAGGAAAAACUCUGGUCUCCUCAGUCCCUUAUAAGGGCACUAAUCCCAUUCACAAGAGCUCCAUUCUCAUGACCUAAUAAACUCUCAAAAGCCCUACUUCACUGUACCAUCAUACUGGGGAUAAGGGGUCAAUGUAUGAAUUUUUGUAGAACAUAAA
RNAcentral lists this long non-coding RNA (358 nucleotides) under Homo sapiens (human). RNAcentral's name for it is "non-protein coding LINC02315:18". Lineage: Eukaryota; Metazoa; Chordata; Mammalia; Primates; Hominidae. The record is from RNAcentral.